Molecule: transfer RNA, 77 nt
Filed under: marine sediment metagenome
Description: tRNA-Met
Rfam family: tRNA
About the family: Transfer RNA (tRNA) molecules are approximately 80 nucleotides in length. Their secondary structure includes four short double-helical elements and three loops (D, anti-codon, and T loops). Further hydrogen bonds mediate the characteristic L-shaped molecular structure. tRNAs have two regions of fundamental functional importance: the anti-codon, which is responsible for specific mRNA codon recognition, and the 3' end, to which the tRNAs corresponding amino acid is attached (by aminoacyl-tRNA synthetases). tRNAs cope with the degeneracy of the genetic code in two manners: having more than one tRNA (with a specific anti-codon) for a particular amino acid; and 'wobble' base-pairing, i.e. permitting non-standard base-pairing at the 3rd anti-codon position.
Source: RNAcentral
UGCGGGAUAGAGCAGUGGUCAGCUCACUGGGCUCAUAACUCAGAGGUCAUGUGGUUCGAAUCCCAUUCCCGCUACCA